Molecule: ribosomal RNA, 473 nt
Filed under: uncultured Campylobacterota bacterium
Lineage: Bacteria; Pseudomonadati; Campylobacterota
Description: bacterial SSU rRNA
Rfam family: Bacterial small subunit ribosomal RNA
Source: RNAcentral
CAAGCGGUGGAGCAUGUGGUUUAAUUCGACGAUACGCGAAGAACCUUACCUGGCCUUGACAUAGAAAGAACUUACUAGAGAUAGUUUGGUACUAGCUUGCUAGAACUUUCAUACAGGUGCUGCACGGCUGUCGUCAGCUCGUGUCGUGAGAUGUUGGGUUAAGUCCCGCAACGAGCGCAACCCUCGUGUUUAGUUACUAACAGUUCGGCUGAGGACUCUAGACAGACUGCCUGGGUAACCAGGAGGAAGGUGAGGACGACGUCAAGUCAUCAUGGCCCUUACGGCCAGGGCUACACACGUGCUACAAUGGGGUAUACAAAGAGCCGCAAUACCGUGAGGUGGAGCAAAUCUCAUAAAAUAUCUCCCAGUUCGGAUUGAAGUCUGCAACUCGACUUCAUGAAGUUGGAAUCGCUAGUAAUCGUGAAUCAGCAAGGUCACGGUGAAUACGUUCCCGGGUCUUGUACUCACCGCCC